RNAcentral lists this microRNA precursor (96 nucleotides) under Camelus bactrianus (Bactrian camel). Its description in RNAcentral is "mir-544 microRNA precursor family". It matches the Rfam family "mir-544 microRNA precursor family". Lineage: Eukaryota; Metazoa; Chordata; Mammalia; Artiodactyla; Camelidae. RNAcentral also lists the same sequence under 2 other names. The record is from Rfam by way of RNAcentral.
AUCACCUGGAGAUUUGUUAAAAUGCAGAUUCUAACUCAGCUAAGUCUGGGUGGGGCUGAGAGUCUGCAUUUCUAACAAGCUCCCGGGUGAUGCUGA